RNAcentral lists this long non-coding RNA (1407 nucleotides) under Homo sapiens (human). RNAcentral describes it as "HSALNT0334966". The record is from RNAcentral. Lineage: Eukaryota; Metazoa; Chordata; Mammalia; Primates; Hominidae.
CGCGUCCCGGGUGCCGCGCGCCCUUCUUAUGCACAGCUGCGGUGCGCCCCGCCGCCCGCCAGAGGCUCGGCUCGCGCGGCGCGGCCGCUGCGACUUCCUGGAGUUCUGCCUGCCGGGGGCGCGGGCGGGUGUGUGAGAGAGAAGGCGAAGGGAGCCGCGGGGUGGGAGAGGAGGGAGUCCCGGCGGGAGGGCGGGGGAGAGGCUGGCGGGAGGGGGGCUCCACGGAGCUCCAGCCAGGGCCGCGGUUCGCCUGCACGUCACGGCUACUCAAACCCAAGCACGUCCCGAAAGCGGCUUUGUCAGGAUCGCGGUGCGGCGACCGACGUUGGGCUCUUGCAUUGCUUUGUGCUUGGCAAUGGAAUCAUGGUUUCGGGGUCUAAACUUUUGUUUCGUUUUGUAGUCUUAAUGUAUCUGAUUCUUUUUCAAGUUUCCCUAGUAACAGGUUUGGGGACGGGGUGGGAAGAAGCGAGAAAAGGGGUGAAGAGAAAAAACCAGAUUAUAUAGAAAGGAAAAAGGGAAAAGGGAUGUUUCCCCACCUUUUAAUCUAACUAUCUAUCUGUCUGUCUAUCUAUCAUCAUAGAUAGUCAUUUUGCCUCCUGGACAGUUGGCUGACGAAGUGUCUGAUAAACCAGCUUCAGAUACAUGCUACAAAAGGUCAUUCGCCUCCUGAUUAUGUUUCUACUUGUAAACGCAGUUGGUGGUUUGCAAAACAAGUGCUAAAAUAGUGCAGUGAUGUGGUGGGAGGAAACCAUAAUGGGUAAUUCAUAUAAAGUGCUGGAAUCUUCGUAAGGAAGUCCCACUUUAUCAUUAAUGAUGACAAUAACUAAGGCUGCCAGGAACAGCACAUCUGCUGAGCUUUAUCAACACCAGAUUCUCUCAUUUUGCCUUCUGGAUCUCCAUGCUUUUUUAUACCAACAAACAAGAGGAAGAAUAUUCUCUACCCACUUCCUUGACUGAAGCCUGCUCUUUUAUGAAGACAUGGCAUCUCUUCCAACCGUGUCAAACAGAUGCAAUUUAUAUGUCUGCUGCUUCCAUACCCUGAUUAAAUGGGUCAGUGGCAGAAUCAGUAUCCUUAGUCUCCCCUUUGGUUUCAAAUAUGUACUCCUUAUUUCAGUUUCAUGCUCACCUUUCUGUAGAGACCAAGGCAUCUGCCUUUGCAGCUUUACCUCUUCCUCCAGGUUAUAGUUUCCAUUCAUGGAAUCUUUUAGCUGCUGGCUGGCAGUUUUCCUGUCUACCUGACUUCCAUUCCUCUUCUCAUGACUUCAGCUCCCAUGCAGAUGUCUUAUCCUGACAUACUAGCUUCUCCAUUCUAUUUCUGUGUGUGUGUGUCUGUGUGUUUCCCUACUAGUUCAUCCACAUUUCCCUAUGGUCUUUUUUUUUUAUGUUUUAUUUUUGCAUAUGUGUAUU